RNAcentral lists this ribosomal RNA (471 nucleotides) under uncultured Gracilibacteraceae bacterium. RNAcentral describes it as "bacterial SSU rRNA". It matches the Rfam family "Bacterial small subunit ribosomal RNA", at positions 27 to 505 of the family's 1533-position model. The record is from RNAcentral. Lineage: Bacteria; Bacillati; Bacillota; Clostridia; Eubacteriales; Gracilibacteraceae.
GGACGAACGCUGGCGGCGUGCCUAACACAUGCAAGUCGAACGGAGAAGCGGAAGUAGUUUACUAUUACCGCAUUUUAGUGGCGGACGGGUGAGUAACACGUGGGCAACCUGCCUUAAAGAGGGGGAUAACACCGAGAAAUCGGUGCUAAUACCGCAUAACAUUAGUAAGUCGCAUGACUUGCUAAUCAAAGGAGCAAUCCGCUUUAAGAUGGGCCCGCGUCUGAUUAGCUAGUUGGUGGGGUAGAAGCCUACCAAGGCGACGAUCAGUAGCCGAUCUGAGAGGAUGAACGGCCACACUGGAACUGAGACACGGUCCAGACUCCUACGGGAGGCAGCAGUGGGGAAUAUUGCACAAUGGAGGGAACUCUGAUGCAGCAACGCCGCGUGGAGGACGAAGGUUUUCGGAUUGUAAACUCCUGUCUUUUGGGACGAUAAUGACGGUACCAAAAGAGGAAGCCACGGCUAACUACG